Non-coding RNA from Tumebacillus sp., 139 nucleotides. NCBI's taxonomy places the organism in Bacteria, Bacillati, Bacillota, Bacilli, Caryophanales, Alicyclobacillaceae. The record is from Rfam.
GAAGUGAAUAACAACGAACCGCAGACAGCAGGUGUCGAGGCAACUCGACUUAAUGUCCUGCCGAGGUCAAGAAGUGAUAACCUUUAACUAGGUAACUUAUGCCCUCGUAGACUGUCUGCGGGGGUUUUCUUCUUGAUCA